GACGAACGCUGGCGGCGUGCUUAACACAUGCAAGUCGAACGGAAAGGCACUGCUUGCUGGGUACUAGAGUGGCGAACGGGUGAGUAACACGUGGGUGCUCUGCCCUGCACUUUGGGAUAAGCCUGGGCAACUGGGUCUAAUACCGGAUAGGAGACACUUCUAGCGUGAUGGAUGGAAAGUUUUUUCGGUGUAGGAUGAGCUCGCGGCCUAUCAGCGUGUUGGUGGGGUAAUGGCCUACCAAGGCGGCGACGGGUAGCCGGCCUGCGAGGGUGGACGGCCACAUUGGGACUGAGAGACGGCCCAGACUCCUACGGGAGGCAGCAGGGGGGAAGAUUGCACAAUGGGCGCAAGCCUGAUGCAGCGACGCCGCGUGGGGGAUGACGGCCUUCGUGUUGUAGACUCCUUGCGCUAGGGACGAAGCUUUUUGUGACGGUACCUAGAUAAGAAGCACCGGCUAACUACGUG
RNAcentral lists this ribosomal RNA (465 nucleotides) under uncultured bacterium. RNAcentral describes it as "partial 16S ribosomal RNA". It matches the Rfam family "Bacterial small subunit ribosomal RNA", at positions 28 to 507 of the family's 1533-position model. The record is from RNAcentral.